Long non-coding RNA from Macrobrachium nipponense, 492 nucleotides. RefSeq lists it as uncharacterized. The transcript has 3 exons. NCBI's taxonomy places the organism in Eukaryota, Metazoa, Arthropoda, Malacostraca, Decapoda, Palaemonidae. The record is from RefSeq and is a predicted model, not a curated record.
UUCUCUUAAGACAGACAGGAGAGAAGAGGUGAUCGACUUCGCAUAUCCUCACGACCAAGAACACCUUCGCAUCUUCACGAGAUCUCCCAAAGCUAGGAGCAGAGUGCUGGCCAUUUUGUCACCGUUUACGUCACAGGUGUGGCUGACCAUCAUAGCGUGCACCUUCUUCAUGGGUCCCGUCGUCUAUGCCGAGUCGAAAAUCAGGGAGCGGAUCGAGGGGCGAGGCCCCCAGGACCUGGAAUUACAGUACUCCGCCUUCAACAUGUUCAGGAGCCUCGUCAACCAAGGGAACGAUCUCACUCUGAGAAGCUGGUCCCAGAGAUUCAUCACCGUCUCUUGGAUGCUCUUCUGUUUUAUCAUUUCGGCGCUCUAUUCCGGAACGCUGACCGCGGUGCUAGCAAUUCCAGCCUACGAGAAACCAAUCGAUUCCCUAACCGACCUCGCGAAGGCUGUGGAAGAUGGGUUCACCCUUGGUGUAACAAGAGACACGAC